UUUCCUUAUCGUUCACCACCAAACACACCUCUCCCUCUUCUUCUUUUUCUUCAUUCCUCCACCUUCCAUCUAUCAUAACUCAAAAUCUAACCGUUUGUUUAUCAAAUUGAAGCUACCUAAACGUUCAGGACUCCAAGAGCUACGUUUCUACCGAUUGAUUUUCCGUUUCAUCCAACGGGUAAGAAAACCCCUUUCUCCAUUUUUCCCUAGGAUUGUAAACAUGCAAUUUCUUGCUACAAGUAACCCAUUUCGUUUUCUUCCAUAAUCUAGCUUCUAGUUGGUUCUAAAAUUCGUUCUCCAUCAUCAAUUGAUGAUUUUAGGUGAUUCUCACACUUUGGGUUCAAAGUACGUGGUUUAGGAUUCUUCCUUGAGUUGGCCGGACGCACUAGAGGUAAGGGGAGCUAGUUCUAUUUCUUAUUUUUAUUGUGUAAUGUGAAUGAAUGACAAAUUUUGAAGUGGUAUGUUGUUAAAGGCAUGAAAUUGGUUUUAUUGACUUGAAAUGCAUGUAUGGAAGUGGGUGUGUUAUGUGAAUUUGGUGAUUGAUGGCUAUGAACUGUCUAGAAUGAUUUUGAAAGAUGAAUUAUUUAUGUUGGAACUAUUUUGGUGUGAAAAAUCUGUUGUGGUGUUGUUAGGAAGAAAAAUCAAGUGUCUUAGGGUCAAUUUAGGUCAUUUAGAGGAAGUAAGGUAGUGAUUUUGAGCAAUUGAGGUCUGCAACAUAUUUGGACUAUUGGGACAGUUUUAUCCACUGCAUUGUGACUUGUUUGAGUUACUAAAUUGGUAAAAAUAGGUGCAAAGAGGUAAGAUUGAGUUUUUGGUCUCUAUGUUGGUGAAAUUGGAGUUAUUUGAAGAGAAGGGAAGUAGUGAAUUUGAGAGGUAGAGGUCUAGGACUCUUUUGAACUGUUGAGGCAGCUUAGGCAAGUUAAUUAUAACUUGUUAGAACUAUAAAAUUGGUUAAAAUGAGGUUCUAAAUGGUAGAAGUGGAGUUGAGUCCUUAGGUUGAGGAAAAACUAGUGUUUUGGGUGAGUUUAGAGGAAGUGAGGUAGUGGUUUUGAGCUCUAGGGGUUAUAACUUGAAUUAGGCAGUUAAGACAACUUAUGUAAGUUCAAAGUGACUUGUGAGAAGUGUCAAAAUAGCCAAGAAGAGUCCUCAGGUGUUAAAUCUAGGUUUGAGCCCAUAAGUUGAGAAAAUUGAGGUUUUUGAGUGUAAAUCUAUGCAUAGUUGUUAGGAAUUGAGGUUAGGAAUGUUUAUACACCUUUAGAAAAGUUUAAAUACACCUAAAUUUCGAGUUAUAAUGAUUAGAAAUUCAUAAAAAGGUCUAAAACGGAACUUAGGGGUGUGAGUUGUGCAAAAUCUGCAUAAAACCUGCAGAAUCCACGCUGGGCGCCACCUAACUGGCGUUGGGCGCCAUUUGGUUUUGUUUCCUGGCGCUGGGCGCCACCUGAAUGGCGCUGGGCGCCAUUCAGCACACUGUUUCUGCUGUCGUUUUUGUUUUUGACGUUUCGGGAGUUCCGGACGUCCGUUUUGGGCGUUCUGGGGGUUUUUAACCCUUCCGGAACCAUUGGUGAGGGUCCCAAGGCUGUUUGAAUUACUUAAGUAUUGAUAAUUAAAUAUCAUAAAGAAAUUUGUGGUAAUAAGUGAUGGUUUUGUGAAAGUAUGUAAUGUAUGAGUCGUUUUAUGACAUGGUCGAUGUUGUGUGAUGGUGUGGGUUUGGUAUGAGCCAAUAUAGUAAGAAUCUACUUGAAUGACUAUGAAAUUUUAUGUUUGAUGAAGCAAAGUGGUUUAUGAGGUACAUUAUUGAUUCAAGAGGAAUAUCAGGUGAUUUAAAGUGGUCGGAUUGAAUAUGAAAUUAAGAUCUCUCGGUGAGAUCAGUUAGUGUAUUGAAUAUAUGUAAGAGGCUUCCACUAUGGGGGGUUAUCCCUAACACUCUAACGGUCUUUCAUUCUCACUUAGAAAGGAUUGACGCGUGUGGUGAGAGUAGUGGGAGGUCCUAGGGUAGGCGCUAUCACUGGAGGUCUAUUUCGCGGUAACGGACCAGCCUUGUGUGUGGUCGGGUGAAACCCCUCGGCAAUGGCUUUGCAAAGCAGUAGAGGCCACCACAAGUGCACAACCCGUCCCAGCUCUAUAUACAUUCUAUGUUCGGACGUGUCUAGGAGUCUUAACAUGACAUGAUGUUUGCUUUAGUGAGUUUUGUGGAAUGAAUGUUUAUGUUUAUAAUGACUUACAUGUUUAAGUGUGUAUGUACGUUCUUGCAAUGAAUUGUAUGAUUGUUUGAGACCCAGCUCACCCUUGCACUUGUAUGUUUGUAUGUGUUUGACUUCCCCCUUGCGAUGAUCAUCCAAUCCUUUGGAUGUGAGUAGUAGGUGAUGAAGUACCCUUGGAGCAUGCGUGGGAGACUGAGGAAGAUCCAGCCCCUAAUACUUAGGGCGUUUAUUAGUUCUUAUUUCAAUAGCUUGUUAAUUUUUGGAAACACUCUCUAGGCAUCCUUCGAUCUUUAGUUUAUUAUGUAUUUUGGAGAACUUUGGAGAACUUGUACUCAAGUUUUAUUUCAUUUUAAUUUCCACUAAAUUUCGAAUGACUGUAUAAAUAUUUAAAUAUUGUCAUCUUUAUCUCUUAAUUGCUUUCACAUAUUGUAAUAGCUGAAUCCUAUUAUAUUAUAUGUGAAUAUGAUAUUUGGG
RNAcentral lists this long non-coding RNA (2675 nucleotides) under Vigna radiata. RNAcentral describes it as "long non-coding RNA (VRAD_LNC009335)". The record is from RNAcentral. Lineage: Eukaryota; Viridiplantae; Streptophyta; Magnoliopsida; Fabales; Fabaceae.